GCCUGGGUGGCUCAGUCGGUUGGGCGUCUGACUUCAGCUCAGGUCACGAUCUCGCGGUCCGUGAGUUCGAGCCCCGCAUCUGGCU
Non-coding RNA from Felis catus (domestic cat), 85 nucleotides. Lineage: Eukaryota; Metazoa; Chordata; Mammalia; Carnivora; Felidae. The record is from Rfam.